UUGGAUUAUUAUUAUUAUUAUUAUGGCCAAAUUUGAGCAGGUUCAAAUGCAUGAUCUGACGCUAUUUAGUAGUCCAAACUAUCAGCUUGUAUGUGUUGCACAACUAGGUUUUGGCAUCAGUUACAUUUUGUUUUCAGGUUUGGCAAUUUAAAAACAAAUUGAAUUCGGUUUUAUGAUAACUGAUAUUAGUUGAUUAGUUCGAUUUGGUUCGAUCCGGAUAAUUUUGAAGUUUUGGUUUUAAGUUAUUAUGGUUCGGAUCCGAACUAACCGAAUGCUCAGGCCUAAAUAGAACUUGCCCUUUUUCAUUUCUGUUUCUGCGUUCGUCUUUUGUGUUUGUGUGUGUGUUGGAGAGGAGGGGGUGUGG
Molecule: unclassified non-coding RNA, 364 nt
Filed under: Hevea brasiliensis (rubber tree)
Lineage: Eukaryota; Viridiplantae; Streptophyta; Magnoliopsida; Malpighiales; Euphorbiaceae
Source: RNAcentral